This 266-nucleotide long non-coding RNA is filed under the name Panax ginseng (ginseng). Its description in RNAcentral is "long non-coding RNA (PGIN_LNC012382)". Lineage: Eukaryota; Viridiplantae; Streptophyta; Magnoliopsida; Apiales; Araliaceae. The record is from RNAcentral.
UAGCGAGUACUAGUCGGGGUAUGGAAUGAAGGUUCUAGAGAGAGUUGUUUAAUAGUCCUCACCAUUUUUGUAAAAUAAUGUAUCAAUAAUUAUGAUGGGGAUUUAUUUGGGUAUGUAUAUUGUCUAGAAGACAAUAAUUGUAUUUAAAUUCACAGUAUAUAUGUUUAUUUUGCACGACAAAUGUAUUAAUAAAGUUGUAGUUAUUUCUGUACCAUGUAUUUGGCGACUCAGAAUGGGUUGGAUGGAAUGGACCUAUUUUGGGGGCG